Long non-coding RNA from Melospiza melodia melodia, 803 nucleotides. RefSeq lists it as uncharacterized. Lineage: Eukaryota; Metazoa; Chordata; Aves; Passeriformes; Passerellidae. The record is from RefSeq and is a predicted model, not a curated record. The transcript has 5 exons.
AAAUGAGAGCUGCCAGGAAUGUUAGCACCAACCAAAGAAACAGAAUUGCUGAAACACUGAUCAUUCAGAGCAAGGCUUCUCAUCCCAACACUUCCCAGUUUUAAGAUGCAGCUGGGCACUGGACUCUGGAGAUGAAAAGAGAGAAGCAAGAGAGAAACUCCAAAGAUAUCUCAGCAUCACUUGACUGUGAAGUGCAUCAGAAGGAAGCAUCCAUGGAAGAGAGCAGGAGAGUGGGUCCUGGAUGAGGACACGACCUUCAGGAUGGCCUUUCCAUCUCUCAGCAAAGCAGCUGAGGAGCUCCUGUUACAGAACAGAAUUUACCUGAGUGUGGAGGAGCUGAACUCUCUCACUUGCAUCCAGAAGCUCCUGCUCAGCCAAUUUCCUCGACCGCUCCGUCUGCUCCAGGGCUGCACGGAGCUCCUCAACUUCAGCCUGCAGCAGGUUUGCUCUGCGCUCUACCAUGGCCACCUGCUCCUUCAGGUCCUCCUGUGUCCUGAGAGCAUCGUCCAGGUGCAGCUGAGUGUCCUGAAAGAAAGGGCUGGAUUCUAUCGGUGCUGGAAGCAAAACACAGCCCAGCUGAACAAGACAGGGCAGAAUGAAGGAUGUCUAUGGGAACAGUCUGUUCUGCCCAGAAAUGCACCUUGGACAAAGCACUGCAGUGCUGAUAUCCUCCAUUGAGGAAACGGGAUUCAGGCAUCCUGAAGACAGGGUCUUCUUGAGAAGAAGAUCACAGAAUGAUAGAACCUGGUCCAACUCCUCUUGAACAGGGAAGUUUCUUUAAUAAAUGAGAAUAUCUGUAUCCA